GAUGGCAUAGCUCAGUGGUAGAGUGCAUGCUUAGCAUGCAUGAAGACCUGGGUUCAGUCCCCAGUACCUCCA
Molecule: transfer RNA, 72 nt
Filed under: Camelus bactrianus (Bactrian camel)
Lineage: Eukaryota; Metazoa; Chordata; Mammalia; Artiodactyla; Camelidae
Also listed under: 2 other names
Rfam family: tRNA
About the family: Transfer RNA (tRNA) molecules are approximately 80 nucleotides in length. Their secondary structure includes four short double-helical elements and three loops (D, anti-codon, and T loops).
Source: Rfam by way of RNAcentral